Molecule: long non-coding RNA, 4122 nt
Organism: Megalobrama amblycephala (Wuchang bream)
Lineage: Eukaryota; Metazoa; Chordata; Actinopteri; Cypriniformes; Xenocyprididae
Exons: 3
Source: RefSeq, a predicted model, not a curated record
GUGGCCGGCAGACGUCCGCGAGGGUCUGCCGGCAUUACUUUCGUUUUGUUCUUUGUUUAUUUCUAAUUAAAGUUUUGUUGAAUGUUCGCCGGUUCCCGCCUCCUUCUUCCCGUAUUGACGAACUUCGUUACCUGGUGGUUUAUUCCUUUUCUAAUCCGAUCCAACAACAAAAAAUUACCAUGUAAACGCUUGAAUCCGACUACUUUCGCAAUCAUAUUCAGAAGUCUCUGGGGCACAUGCGCAGUGCAGUGUUGACACGCAUUACGCAGUGCGCAAGUUCACGUUCACGUCUUUAGUUGUAAAGAUGUAUGCCAACAGACAGUGGCGUAGCUGUAUCCCUUCGUCAUAAUAUUGGAAAUCUUUCCGUUUUAAAACAAGGGGAGCCAAUGGAUAUCACACAAGAAGCAGUUAUGAAGCAGAGUUAUGCCGGUGAAAAGUCUCAACCUCGGUUUACCAAGAUGGGUUUACCAGGUCCCAUGUACUAAUGUUCUAUAGGAAAAAAAACUCUUGAGGCAAGAGGGAAAGAUGGAAAUAAACAGGCAGAGAAAGAGCAGCCAUUGCAGGAACAUGGAUCAGGGUAAUGGGGCUUGUGACAUUACAGUGAUGAAUAAGAUAUAUGGCAUAAUGGAAACAGGAAAUACAACCACACACACACACACACACACACACACACACACACACACACACACACACACACACACACAUCUCAAAUAAAGACAAGAUACAUGUGUUUAUGACUUGAUUUGUGUACUUUAAUUCUUCCCUAACAUCCAACAAAUAAGCCACAGCGUCCUUGCCAAGAGAGAAAGGGAUCAAGUAUAAAAUACACUAUUUAGUCACAUAAAUAUGUCUGCAAUGUCAUAAAUAUCCUUUAAAUUCAUUCUGUAAUACAGGAUACCGCUAGGCUCAGCAUGUGUGUGUGUGUGUGUGUGUGUGUGUGUACAGUCAGGCUAAGAAGCCAAAGGUGUUUACCUGGCCCCAGGAUGGCGCAGUAUGCAGUGUGCAUUCAUGUCUGCAUGUUUGAGGUGGUUUAAGACUCAAGAGAAACGUCUGGGCUACAGACCAAUUCCUCGUCUCAUGCCGACUUGCUGCCCCACUGGAGCUGCAGCGGUCUGGCCGAGGAGAUAUGACCACUUAAACCAGAGUUUCCGGUCAGUCUAGGUCAUCUGUUUUCAAUAUUAUAGGUUUUUUGGAAGGAGAUUUAUUCUACAGUUAGAUGUUUCGUAUACAGUAUAAAGGAUCUGACAGUGUUUGCUCAGGUUCAUGGUGGACUAAUGCAAACCCUCACAUGUUGCAUGGAAGCUAUGCUGUGGUUAUGGAUCAGAAGUCACAGCACAGCUGCACUGGAAAGACUUCUGCAUUGAAUUUCUCACUUUUCCUGGCCAUAGGAUAUAGAAAGAUAUUUCAGGAUGACCGUUAGUAUCAGAAUUCAUGUUCAGUGGCUGUGCUGAAAAGGUCUCUGGUUUCACCAGACACAUUCUCACCCUAAAACACUUGUGCUGGGGGAGGACACACUGAACAGACUAUACUCCGCUGCCAGGAAUGUCAGGAAUUGUUUGUGAAAAACACAAGCUAAGCAACACAGAAUCACAGACUGUGAUACAAACUCACAUAUGCAUGCUCACACAUACACCAUUUAACUCAGACAGAUUUACACUAACAUAUAUAGCAUAUCGUGCACAUACUCAGAUGCUAUGUAUCCAAACCCCCUUAUUUGGGCUGGGUGGUGUUGGGUAUAAAUAGUGGAGUGGUGUUACGGUGAAGGGCAAGAGGCCACAGAACUCCACCCUACCAGUCUUUUAAAAAUACACACUCACCCUCUUUCUAUAACUCUCUCUCUCGUUCACUAAUUCUCUAUUUCUGCCUCUCUGAUGUACCUGAGGGUGUAACACUAUUCCUGAAUUGCUUUUAGUUCUUUUCGUUAACCUUUAAAGGGAUGUACUUUGUCAUCAUUUAGUCACCUUCAUAUUUUUCCAAACCCAUUGUGACCACAGCUGUUAAGCUCCAAAAAUGAAAAGAAAAUGCACCUUAAAAAGUGGUCCAUAUGACUAUAUUCUAAGACUUCUGAAGUCUUAUAGUAGCUUUGUGAGAGAAACAACUGAAAUCUGAAUGAAUUAUUUAGCCUGAUCUGUGAACCAAAUCAAAUAGUUCAUUGAAAAGAAUCAACUAAAAAAAAAAAAAAAAAAACUGAUAUGGUUCUUGAGUUUCAACUCUGACUCAAUUAUCUGGCUUAGGGAUGUUCUUGUAUCUUUAAGAGUAUGUUUGUUAUAUUCAAAUAUAUUCUGUUUUUCAAAGUGUUCCAAUGUGACAGGUCAUGGUGACACGUUUGUGGUUAGAUAAUGGACGCCUGCCAAGUACUGCAGAAGCGAUGGUGUUUUCAGAAUUAGUUGCUCAUUUGAUCUUGUACCUCAUUGAAGUCUAUGUGCGAGACAUCACUGCCGUUGUCAGAGCACGAUCAGACCUCACUAAAUGAGUGCAGAACGCAGUUGGAUAUAGUAGAGUAUUUCCGUUGUAUUAAUAAAAUGCAACUUAUCUGUUUUUUUCCUUUAAAAACAUUUUUAUACAUAUAGCGUUAAGAGUAUUUUUGAACCAUGCAGCGAACAUAUUAAAAUAUCUCGCAAAAUUACUUAAAUUACUUUUUAAACUGUUCAACUGAUAAUAUUAAUCAGUCAAAAUUUCUACUAUCUGUUAACGGUUAUAACCAGUUAAUUAUGAGCAUCCCUAAUCUGGCUAUUUACUGUUUUUAAUGUAACUUUAAUCACAGAGAAUGUUACUUUAAUGUAAAAUUUUUGAUUGAAUAAAUACAGGCUUGGUGUUUCAAAAAACUUACCGAUCCCAGACUUUUGAACAGUAGUGUACUGUAUGUUCUUGAUUCAUGUUUCAUAGGAAACAAAUAAGAGGGUUUGGAUCGACAUGAAUAUGAGUAAAUGUCAGAAUUUUCAGUUUUCGGGGGCAAACUUUCCCUUUAAACACUUACGUGUGUCUUCUUACCUCACACUUUUUUCCCUCCCUCAUUUCACCUACUCCUCGAGCCCCCUCAUUUUCCAUUUUUCCCUGCCCUUAAUAUCAUCUCUCCUUUGCAUGUCAUAAUGAUAAUUACUUAUUAGUAGCAACUGAAAAGUGACAAGCCCGUAAUUUCCCAGAGGAUUGUUUUUAUAUACAUUCCUCAGUAUAUGCAGCACAAAGAACUACAAUGUUGCUAAAGUGGGUUCAAAAUGCAGACAGGCAAAUGACAACAUGAAAUACAAGGAAGGGUCAGCUAAAAAUACCUCAAAAUUAUUGAACUCUAGCCCCAAGUAUCUCUCCCUCAGUGAUGUGAAAGCUCCUAUUGUCUUCAGUGAACUGGACUCUGUACUUUUCUUGGAUGAGCUGAAGCUCCCUACAGACAUUCAAAAACAAAGGCUCUUCAAUGAUACUUUGCAGCCCCUCAAAUUCAGAAGACCCCUUGUCUUAUCGCUGUUUUGGGUCCUUGAGUUGCUUAUUAUAGAUUCUUCAGAAUAGAAUGGAGAAAACUAAUGGGAUUUUGCAUAAUAUUAAGCUAAACCAUCAAUGUUCACCCAUCCACACACAUUUCCUGUAUACAUUUACACAGCCUGAGGCAGAAACACAUUGUCCAUCUGCUCUGAGAUGCAAAUGUUACUAUACCAUGCAGGAAACAUUUUACAGUAAACUACUGCCAAAAGACUCCAUGAGACAUCAUGCAAGCACAAGGGAAGUCAUUCAUUCAAAUCUGACUUGCGUAAACUCACUCUCAGAUAAGACAUCUGAAACUUAGAUACAAACAGAUGAACAACCUCCCAACUGCUACUAGAACUUCAGGCAGAGACACAUAUGUCCUGAUGUCUGUAGUUUCAGAGAAAGAGUCACGGUAGGUCAUUACAGUAAGAAUAAUUCACAAUUAAAGCUGCUAGCAGCGAUGAAAGGGCCCUUGCAUCCGGGGCCACCACCACCCGCUUGCCUUAGGAAAACAGCGAAUACUUGGUGACAUGCAUGUAUUCGAGUAAAUACAGGAGAAAUAUGGCAAAGUCAUUUUGAUGUGCCACACUUCCUGCUGUCAACAGGUGGCGCUUUGACUAUUACUGAAUAUUGACAUGUAGAUGUCUUUAGGCCAGGACUAUUAUC